RNAcentral lists this ribosomal RNA (253 nucleotides) under uncultured bacterium. RNAcentral's name for it is "partial 16S ribosomal RNA". It matches the Rfam family "Bacterial small subunit ribosomal RNA", at positions 524 to 776 of the family's 1533-position model. The record is from RNAcentral.
UACGUAGGUUGCGAGCGUUAAUCGGAAUUACUGGGCGUAAAGCGUGCGCAGGCGGUUUUGUAAGCCGGAUGUGAAAUCCCCGGGCUUAACCUGGGAAUGGCAUUCGGGACUGCAAGGCUGGAGUGCGGCAGAGGAGACUGGAAUUCCUGGUGUAGCAGUGAAAUGCGUAGAUAUCAGGAGGAACACCGAUGGCGAAGGCAGGUCUCUGGGCUGACACUGACGCUCAUGCACGAAAGCGCGGGGAGCAAACAGG